RNAcentral lists this ribosomal RNA (160 nucleotides) under Chroogomphus leptocystis. RNAcentral describes it as "5.8S ribosomal RNA". It matches the Rfam family "5.8S ribosomal RNA". Rfam says of the family: 5.8S ribosomal RNA (5.8S rRNA) is a component of the large subunit of the eukaryotic ribosome. Lineage: Eukaryota; Fungi; Basidiomycota; Agaricomycetes; Boletales; Gomphidiaceae. The record is from RNAcentral.
CAACUUUCAGCAAUGGAUCUCUUGGCUCUCGCAUCGAUGAAGAACGCAGCGAAUUGCGAUAUGUAAUGUGAAUUGCAGAUCUACAGUGAAUCAUCGAAUCUUUGAACGCACAUUGCGCUCCUCGGUGUUCCGAGGAGCAUGCCUGUUUGAGUGUCAGUAA